ACACUUAUACACAUAUGUGAUGAUCAGGAAGGUUUUCCCAGGGUGGGGCUCAUCUAGCACAGUCUGGUCAUGCUGAUCCUGCUAUUUCUCCAAAGGCAGCCAAUACAAUUGCAUAAUUUGUGGUAGUGGGGGUCCGUGUUGCUUCUCUUCCCUG
Small nuclear RNA from Cricetulus griseus (Chinese hamster), 154 nucleotides. Its record names the gene U1. It matches the Rfam family "U1 spliceosomal RNA". From Rfam's summary of the family: U1 is a small nuclear RNA (snRNA) component of the spliceosome (involved in pre-mRNA splicing). Its 5' end forms complementary base pairs with the 5' splice junction, thus defining the 5' donor site of an intron. The record is from Ensembl. NCBI's taxonomy places the organism in Eukaryota, Metazoa, Chordata, Mammalia, Rodentia, Cricetidae.